This 70-nucleotide transfer RNA is filed under the name Rattus norvegicus (Norway rat). It matches the Rfam family "tRNA". Rfam says of the family: Transfer RNA (tRNA) molecules are approximately 80 nucleotides in length. Lineage: Eukaryota; Metazoa; Chordata; Mammalia; Rodentia; Muridae. The record is from Rfam by way of RNAcentral.
GGGGAUUUAGCUCAGUGGUAGAGCGCUUGCCUAGCAAGCACAAGGCCCUGGGUUCGGGCCUGGGUUCCCA